CCUUACCAACCCUUGACAUCCUAGGACAACUCCAGAGGUGGAGCCUUCCUUCGGGACCUAGUGACAGGGGCUGCAUGGCUGUCGUCAGCUCGUGUCGUGAGAUGUUCGGUUAAGUCCGGCAACGAGCGCAACCCACGUCUUUAGUUGCCAGCAGUUCGGCUGGGCACUCUAAAGAAACUGCCCGUGAUAAGCGGGAGGAAGGUGUGGAUGACGUCAAGUCCUCAUGGCCCUUACGGGUUGGGCUACACACGUGCUACAAUGGUGUCUACAGUGGGUUAAUCUCCAAAAGACAUCUCAGUUCGGAUUGUCGUCUGCAACUCGACGGCAUGAAGUCGGAAUCGCUAGUAAUCGCGUAACAGCAUGACGCGGUGAAUACGUUCCC
This 382-nucleotide ribosomal RNA is filed under the name uncultured bacterium. Its description in RNAcentral is "bacterial SSU rRNA". It matches the Rfam family "Bacterial small subunit ribosomal RNA", at positions 969 to 1375 of the family's 1533-position model. The record is from RNAcentral.